RNAcentral lists this ribosomal RNA (255 nucleotides) under uncultured bacterium. RNAcentral's name for it is "partial 16S ribosomal RNA". It matches the Rfam family "Bacterial small subunit ribosomal RNA", at positions 524 to 776 of the family's 1533-position model. The record is from RNAcentral.
UACGGAGGGUGCAAGCGUUAUCCGGAUUCACUGGGUUUAAAGGGUGCGUAGGCGGGCAUUUAAGUCAGUGGUGAAAUACCUGAGCUUAACUUGGGAACUGCCAUUGAUACUAUUUGUCUUGAAUGUCGUGGAGGUUAGCGGAAUAUGUCAUGUAGCGGUGAAAUGACUUAGUAUAUGACAUAGAACACCUAUUGCGAAGGCAGCUAACUACGCGAAUAUUGACGCUGAGGCACGAAAGCGUGGGGAUCAAACAGG